This 419-nucleotide unclassified non-coding RNA is filed under the name fungal sp. RNAcentral describes it as "partial internal transcribed spacer region". The stretch from base 1 to 46 matches the Rfam family "Eukaryotic small subunit ribosomal RNA", at positions 1786 to 1831 of the family's 1831-position model. Lineage: Eukaryota; Fungi. The record is from RNAcentral.
AAGUCGUAACAAGGUAACCGUAGGUGAACCUGCGGUUGGAUCAUUAUUGAAAUCCAAAACAAUCUUGAGGCGUGGUUUUCUUGUAACAUUCUCACGAAUGCUACUUGAUCUCCCCACUCAACACCCCAAAACCUUUAAACGACAGGGAACGCAAGUUUCCUGUAUGUGAACUUUAUUGUUGAUAGAAACUCUUUGAAAUCAGAGUUUUCUCUACAGCGCUUGAUCGAUAUCUUGGUCUCAAGUCCAUUCACGUGGGCUUUUGGCCUCGGUGUCAAUCUUGCAAUGUGGGAAGAUAUACCAAAUUUGGUUUCUAUAGAUAUCUAUCAAUAUUACAACCUAGUUAAACAUCUGUUAUUUUGCCUUCUUUUUUACAAAACAAAAAAGAAAAACAACUUUUGACAAUGGAUCUCUAGGCUCUC